Molecule: long non-coding RNA, 2339 nt
Organism: Anas platyrhynchos (mallard)
Lineage: Eukaryota; Metazoa; Chordata; Aves; Anseriformes; Anatidae
Source: RefSeq, a predicted model, not a curated record
UUAAAAGUUCUAUGCAAUCAUCUGCUCCACCUGAAAUUUGCCUCUAUAUCUUCACAAUGCCAUUCCAGCUGUGAAAGUAAUGUUAGUAGUCCCUGUUUCUAAAAAGCAAUUGUGGAGCCAGUCUUGUAAGCUACAAGUUUUUGAGAAUGGCAAUGAGUCACAAGAGCUCUGGAAAAGCUAGAAGAAGAGAGACUAAAGUUAUCAACCCUGAAGCACUGAAUCAUCUAUAUUUCAUCUACAGAAACAUAGAUGCAAAGCACUACCACCUGCUUCUUAAUUCAGUUGUCUUCAGAGCAAGUCCACCAAGGCAGAAUGUAACAUCACAGUUAACAUCAGGAGACAGAGGUAGUCUGGGGUUUGGAUGGAACCAUAAAAAGAUGAAAAAGUCAUUCAGUUGGUUCAUCAUCUCUGCCAUUUCAAGUCAAAUUGACUAAUCCAGCACCUACCUUCAAUUUAAAAAACAAAAACAAAAAAUGUUAAACUGACAAAACAUAGUUCUCAUUCUUUCUUCAAUAAUAGUAGAAGAUUCUUCUAGCCCUUCAGAAAUGAAACUAUUGGGACUGUGAAUUGUCCUUCCUCUGUGCAUAGAUAUUAAUAUGCAGAAUUGUCUCAGUCAAAGCCAGUAACCUAUUUUUAAGAGACCUGCACAAGGAAUGACUGCAAUGCUCUAUCAAUAUCCAUUUUGAUUACAAUAUUUUUGGUAACUCUAUGUUGUUCUAUCAAAAGUAGCUUUCUUUAUUAUUAUUAUUUAAAGAAUAUCUCCAGCUAUGCAAUAUAUUGUUGUUUUAAGGUUUUGAUAAAGUUUUGAAUGACCAGUUUUAUAUUGAUGAGAACCUAGGUGAAUUUGCAAGAUAAAUUAGUGUUUAAAAACAACAACAAAAAAAGUCAUUUCCUUGAAACUGUUUCUAUUAAGCUGCAUCACAAGUCUAUAUAAGGGUAAAAAUAGAAAAUCUGUACAACCUUUACUGAGAGUUGGCAUUAAAAGACUGAGUAUCAGUGUAAAUGUUAUAACAGGGCAUUGUGCUAAUGUAGUUAGCCAAGAACCAACAUUUUCAAGCUAACUGGAAGAAUAUGUUAUAUGCUAGUGUGAUUUAUGCUUAUUUUACAUGUGAUUUGUGCUAUUAUGCUUAAAGGAGAUGGGGCAUAUAAAUGUUUUACUUCUUUUUCAUCAUUGCCCACCUGGAGUUUUGGAGGAUAAGCUUGAUACUAUUUAAAUGAAUCUAUGUCAUCUGACUAGGAUUUUUAAGUCCUUUGUUGGCUGGGUUUCACAUGUUUUCUUUAUCUUUUCUUACCCUAUACAUCAACUAACUUGGGUUAUAUUCUUUAUCCUGGUGCUGAUGGGAUAUUACCUGUAAUUUCACUCCAGUGGUUCCAUGAUUACAGAAUUCUUUGAGAUGCAAAGACAGUUAUGGGUGUAAAGAACUAUGCAUUCAAUGAAACUUGGAAUUGAAGAAUUGCUGCAUUUAUGCUUUAAAACUUAUGAAUGGGAAACAGUCCCAGAACACAGAAAGCAUUUUAGAUAUGUUGGAAGAAAAAAAAAAAGCACAUCAAUUAUACAACCUGUAAUCAGUAUGAACAGUUUAUAUACUCAGUGUAUCUAAUUCAUGUUUGUGUAAAGUAUUUGUCCAUUGGCAUUGUUUUCUACUGUAAUGUAGUAAUACUAUUAAGUAUUUGGGGAAUUACAGCAUCUAUGAAAUGGUAAAGGAAAGAAUUCACUCUGAACUCGCACAAAGUGGAGGAUCUAGUUGUGUGGCAGCUGUUUCGUGUGAAUUUUUAUAGGUUUGAGAAGUUAAGUGUUUAAAUUCAAAUAAGAAAUAUGAAGAUUAUUUCUCAUAAGUAACUUAACUUAGUCUCCCUUAGUCAAAUGUUGUGAGCCUUACAAAUGUCUGUGUUUCGCUACAAUGAAGGUAUUCUUGUUCACAUGGCAGAAGACUACUCUUUCAACUUGAAAGGCAGAGAAUGAUUGGCUGUGUGGAGUAGGCUGUUUGUCCCCCGUCCCCAAUAGCUACUGUUUGCAUGUGACAUUGGACUCAUUCAGUAUGAUUCUGAUGCCUCUCAAGCAAGUGAAAUCUUGAGAUUCAAUGAGUAUGAGAAGUGUUAUUUUGCUUAACGUUUCUCUCUUGAAAGCAUACUGUAGUAUUAUGUGAUGUGUAAUGUUAGAUGGUAUUGUAUGCUCAACUUAAAAACCUAAUGGCAGCAUCUGUUUACAGUCACUCCACUAUGAUAGUAUCUGUGAUACUACUGAGUUCUGCAUGAUAUAUAAAACACUACUGUGUUUUUCGUGCAUAUUGCAUAGAAGUGAUGAUGCACAAAUACUUAAUAAAGUCUUUCUUCUCAAA